GGAUUAGAUACCCUGGUAGUCCACGCCGUAAACGAUGAAAACUAGCUGUUCGGUCGCGUUGUCGACUUAGUAGCGAAGCUAACGCGUUAAGUUUUCCGCCUGGGGAGUACGGCCGCAAGGCUAAAACUCAAAGGAAUUGACGGGGGCCCGCACAAGCGGUGGAGCAUGUGGUUUAAUUCGAUGCAACGCGAAGAACCUUACCUACCCUUGACAUCCUGCGAAGGCGCUAGAGAUAGCGCUGUGCCUUCGGGAAUGCAGUGACAGGUGCUGCAUGGCUGUCGUCAGCUCGUGCUG
RNAcentral lists this ribosomal RNA (294 nucleotides) under uncultured bacterium. RNAcentral describes it as "partial 16S ribosomal RNA". It matches the Rfam family "Bacterial small subunit ribosomal RNA", at positions 775 to 1067 of the family's 1533-position model. The record is from RNAcentral.